ACCGCCCAGGUCUGAGAGCAGGUGUGAUUGCACGGUGGCGGCCUCAGGCGGCCUCAGCGGUGCGGCAGAGGCCUGGAUGGAUGGCAUCGUCAUCACAAGUCUUGGCUGAGGGACCGCCUGUGAGCUGCCUUGCUGCGCUGGUCCAUUGAGUAUGUGGGGCUGGGUCAUCGAAUCUGGCCCGGGCGCUUGUGCACUGCCGCUGCUGGAGGAUGCAAGCGUGCCCUGCGGCGCCGAUCAGAAAGGAAUGAUAAAAGAGCGAUUUGAAACAAAACAUGUAUUUCACUGACUUCAGCGCAAGCUACGUGUUGAUCCAGAUCUCAGGCGCAGGUGCAGUCUGCCAUCCCACUGCAGCACAGUCGCAAGGACUACUCUGUUGUAUAGUGUAAAUGCUCAAUGAGUUCAUCACAGCCCCUUUAUAUAAAUGCAAAUGCAAACGCAAAUAGAGGGCGGACAUGCAAGCAGGGAGUGUGCAUAGCAGCGGACCUUCCUCAGGCGGUCGACAAGUUCUGCAGCUGGCCUGCUCAGCUCUCGCCCGUUGGUGUGAGUGGGAAGAGCAGAGGUUGACGUGGUAGCCUGACUUCCACUGAUAUUCUGCCGCCAAUUUCUGAACUCUCCUGCCUUUGGUCGCCACGUCCUCCCAU
Molecule: long non-coding RNA, 641 nt
Filed under: Coccomyxa subellipsoidea
Lineage: Eukaryota; Viridiplantae; Chlorophyta; Trebouxiophyceae; Coccomyxaceae
Description: long non-coding RNA (CSUB_LNC000442)
Source: RNAcentral